CCACCUUUGACAUGUAUGGAAGUUUCCAGAGAUGGAUUCGUGCUCGAAAGAGAGCCAUAACACAGGUGCUGCAUGGCUGUCGUCAGCUCGUGUCGUGAGAUGUUGGGGUAAGUCCCGCAACGAGCGCAACCCUUGUCAUUAGUUGCUACAUUCAGUUGGGCACUCUAAUGAGACUGCCGGUGACAAACCGGAGGAAGGUGGGGAUGACGUCAAGUCCUCAUGGCCCUUAUAGGUGGGGCUACACACGUCAUACAAUGGCCGGUACAAAGGGUCGCAAACCCGCGAGGGGGAGCCAAUCCAUCAAAGCCGGUCGUAGUCCGGAUCGCAGUCUGCAACUCGACUGCGUGAAGUCGGAAUCGCUAGUAAUCGUGGAUCAGCAUGUCACGGUGAAUACGUUCCC
RNAcentral lists this ribosomal RNA (400 nucleotides) under uncultured bacterium. RNAcentral's name for it is "bacterial SSU rRNA". It matches the Rfam family "Bacterial small subunit ribosomal RNA", at positions 975 to 1375 of the family's 1533-position model. The record is from RNAcentral.